UUAAGCGACUAAGCGUACACGGUGGAUGCCCUGGCAGUCAGAGGCGAUGAAGGACGUGCUAAUCUGCGAUAAGCGUCGGUAAGGUGAUAUGAACCGUUAUAACCGGCGAUUUCCGAAUGGGGAAACCCAGUGUGAUUCGUCACACUAUCAUUAACUGAAUCCAUAGGUUAAUGAGGCGAACCGGGGGAACUGAAACAUCUAAGUACCCCGAGGAAAAGAAAUCAACCGAGAUUCCCCCAGUAGCGGCGAGCGAACGGGGAGCAGCCCAGAGCCUGAAUCAGUAUGUGUGUUAGUGGAAGCGUCUGGAAAGGCGCGCGAUACAGGGUGACAGCCCCGUACACAAAAAUGCACAUGCUGUGAGCUCGAUGAGUAGGGCGGGACACGUGGUAUCCUGUCUGAAUAUGGGGGGACCAUCCUCCAAGGCUAAAUACUCCUGACUGACCGAUAGUGAACCAGUACCGUGAGGGAAAGGCGAAAAGAACCCCGGCGAGGGGAGUGAAAAAGAACCUGAAACCGUGUACGUACAAGCAGUGGGAGCACAGAGCAAUCUGUGUGACUGCGUACCUUUUGUAUAAUGGGUCAGCGACUUAUAUUCUGUAGCAAGGUUAACCGAAUAGGGGAGCCGAAGGGAAACCGAGUCUUAACUGGGCGUUAAGUUGCAGGGUAUAGACCCGAAACCCGGUGAUCUAGCCAUGGGCAGGUUGAAGGUUGGGUAACACUAACUGGAGGACCGAACCGACUAAUGUUGAAAAAUUAGCGGAUGACUUGUGGCUGGGGGUGAAAGGCCAAUCAAACCGGGAGAUAGCUGGUUCUCCCCGAAAGCUAUUUAGGUAGCGCCUCGUGAAUUCAUCUCCGGGGGUAGAGCACUGUUUCGGCAAGGGGGUCAUCCCGACUUACCAACCCGAUGCAAACUGCGAAUACCGGAGAAUGUUAUCACGGGAGACACACGGCGGGUGCUAACGUCCGUCGUGAAGAGGGAAACAACCCAGACCGCCAGCUAAGGUCCCAAAGUCAUGGUUAAGUGGGAAACGAUGUGGGAAGGCCCAGACAGCCAGGAUGUUGGCUUAGAAGCAGCCAUCAUUUAAAGAAAGCGUAAUAGCUCACUGGUCGAGUCGGCCUGCGCGGAAGAUGUAACGGGGCUAAACCAUGCACCGAAGCUGCGGCAGCGACGCUUAUGCGUUGUUGGGUAGGGGAGCGUUCUGUAAGCCUGUGAAGGUGUGCUGUGAGGCAUGCUGGAGGUAUCAGAAGUGCGAAUGCUGACAUAAGUAACGAUAAAGCGGGUGAAAAGCCCGCUCGCCGGAAGACCAAGGGUUCCUGUCCAACGUUAAUCGGGGCAGGGUGAGUCGACCCCUAAGGCGAGGCCGAAAGGCGUAGUCGAUGGGAAACAGGUUAAUAUUCCUGUACUUGGUGUUACUGCGAAGGGGGGACGGAGAAGGCUAUGUUGGCCGGGCGACGGUUGUCCCGGUUUAAGCGUGUAGGCUGGUUUUCCAGGCAAAUCCGGAAAAUCAAGGCUGAGGCGUGAUGACGAGGCACUACGGUGCUGAAGCAACAAAUGCCCUGCUUCCAGGAAAAGCCUCUAAGCAUCAGGUAACAUCAAAUCGUACCCCAAACCGACACAGGUGGUCAGGUAGAGAAUACCAAGGCGCUUGAGAGAACUCGGGUGAAGGAACUAGGCAAAAUGGUGCCGUAACUUCGGGAGAAGGCACGCUGAUAUGUAGGUGAAGUCCCUCGCGGAUGGAGCUGAAAUCAGUCGAAGAUACCAGCUGGCUGCAACUGUUUAUUAAAAACACAGCACUGUGCAAACACGAAAGUGGACGUAUACGGUGUGACGCCUGCCCGGUGCCGGAAGGUUAAUUGAUGGGGUUAGCGCAAGCGAAGCUCUUGAUCGAAGCCCCGGUAAACGGCGGCCGUAACUAUAACGGUCCUAAGGUAGCGAAAUUCCUUGUCGGGUAAGUUCCGACCUGCACGAAUGGCGUAAUGAUGGCCAGGCUGUCUCCACCCGAGACUCAGUGAAAUUGAACUCGCUGUGAAGAUGCAGUGUACCCGCGGCAAGACGGAAAGACCCCGUGAACCUUUACUAUAGCUUGACACUGAACAUUGAGCCUUGAUGUGUAGGAUAGGUGGGAGGCUUUGAAGUGUGGACGCCAGUCUGCAUGGAGCCGACCUUGAAAUACCACCCUUUAAUGUUUGAUGUUCUAACGUUGACCCGUAAUCCGGGUUGCGGACAGUGUCUGGUGGGUAGUUUGACUGGGGCGGUCUCCUCCUAAAGAGUAACGGAGGAGCACGAAGGUUGGCUAAUCCUGGUCGGACAUCAGGAGGUUAGUGCAAUGGCAUAAGCCAGCUUGACUGCGAGCGUGACGGCGCGAGCAGGUGCGAAAGCAGGUCAUAGUGAUCCGGUGGUUCUGAAUGGAAGGGCCAUCGCUCAACGGAUAAAAGGUACUCCGGGGAUAACAGGCUGAUACCGCCCAAGAGUUCAUAUCGACGGCGGUGUUUGGCACCUCGAUGUCGGCUCAUCACAUCCUGGGGCUGAAGUAGGUCCCAAGGGUAUGGCUGUUCGCCAUUUAAAGUGGUACGCGAGCUGGGUUUAGAACGUCGUGAGACAGUUCGGUCCCUAUCUGCCGUGGGCGCUGGAGAACUGAGGGGGGCUGCUCCUAGUACGAGAGGACCGGAGUGGACGCAUCACUGGUGUUCGGGUUGUCAUGCCAAUGGCACUGCCCGGUAGCUAAAUGCGGAAGAGAUAAGUGCUGAAAGCAUCUAAGCACGAAACUUGCCCCGAGAUGAGUUCUCCCUGACUCCUUGAGAGUCCUGAAGGAACGUUGAAGACGACGACGUUGAUAGGCCGGGUGUGUAAGCGCAGCGAUGCGUUGAGCUAACCGGUACUAAUGAGCCGUGAGGCUUAACCUU
Molecule: ribosomal RNA, 2904 nt
Filed under: Escherichia coli
Lineage: Bacteria; Pseudomonadati; Pseudomonadota; Gammaproteobacteria; Enterobacterales; Enterobacteriaceae
Description: bacterial LSU rRNA
Rfam family: Bacterial large subunit ribosomal RNA
Source: RNAcentral